Molecule: long non-coding RNA, 646 nt
Organism: Clupea harengus (Atlantic herring)
Lineage: Eukaryota; Metazoa; Chordata; Actinopteri; Clupeiformes; Clupeidae
Exons: 3
Source: RefSeq, a predicted model, not a curated record
UAGUUAUCAACAGUAAUGGGGAUGAAAUCCAAUGGACAUGUUACUAUGAACGAAAACUACAUUUACCUACACCAGGUAAAGUCAUAUGACGCAGGGCAGCGACGUCUGAUUUCGCGGUUUUUUUUCGGACUAUAUUUGCCGGUGCCAAAAGCUUUAUACUACAUUGAGACGAAAGCCGCAUGCUGUUCUUUUCGAACUCCAUAAACUCUCUGGGAUUUGGGAUUUUUCUCUAUUGUAUAGAGUUAGCGCCAAUCGUGUGUCACGGUUUAUACAUUCAUUUGACCACCAUCAAUUCCGAGGAGUUAUACAUCGAAGCGCUUUUUGUAAUCGUUAUGGAGAGGAGUUUAUGGUGAUACAUUUCACAGCAAUGCCUCUUCAUUGUUGGUUUGCAGCUCGAGCCAAAUGCAAAGCCUCCCCAUGCAUCAUCGUCAAAUGGACUCCUCUGUGCUUAAGCUGUUUCUGCUGGCCUCCAUCUUGUACACAGAGGCAAGAGAUUUAUUUCUGCUUGAAGGACAUCAUGUCAAACUGGACAUCCAUGGACAUGAAGACUUUAGGAGGGAGGAGAUAGAUUUUGUGCACUGGUCUUUCCAUGGACAGGUUGUGAGAUAUUAUCCUGCAAAAGAAAAAUUAUAUGUACCUAAUGACC